This 1209-nucleotide long non-coding RNA is filed under the name Meleagris gallopavo (turkey). RNAcentral's name for it is "lncRNA (ENSMGAG00000022884.1)". Lineage: Eukaryota; Metazoa; Chordata; Aves; Galliformes; Phasianidae. The record is from RNAcentral.
UUUUUUCCGGGAUUUUGUUUUUAAAGGCAUCGAUCGGGAGAUGCGGGCAGAAAUUGCUGCUGCUGCUGGGGCCGGGAGCUGAGCACCUCCGGAGCAAACCGGGAGCAGCUGAACUUUGGCGCUGGGAAAGAUUCAUUUCUCCUCCGUAAACACUUUGGGGACGACCACAGCGCAUCAUCGCACACCCAGCGCUGCAGCACCCGGUGCUGGAGAGACACUGGGGGGUUCCUCUCUCACCAAGGACGGACACCUGUGUAAGGAGCUGGGGAAGGGCAAUUCAUCUUUCUUUUCCAGAUGACUGCAAAUACCGAAAGGAUCGUGGCUCUCUGCUUUCCAUCAGCAAGUGGCAUUAGGGAGAGGCAGAGGAAUGGAAAUGAUGUUGCUCCAAUUCAUCCCAGCAUCUACUUUUUCCCAAGGGACUCCAUGCCCAUAGGGGUUUGCUGCAUGCAUGUCCAGCAGUGAGGACAGCAGUACCACAGAUGCAUCCCAACUGGAUCAUGUAAGAAUUUGAUACUGAGAAACCCACCCCAGUGAGACUUUCUCUGCCUGAAGUAUAUGGUUUGGUGUAAGCACAGCAAUUUUUGCCUAUUUCUCUCCCUUUUCCAUCUCUUGGGCUUGGAGAUCUCUGCCCUCAUUGCAACUAUGCUCAUUUGCAACAUCAGUGCCAUCAAAGAUUGGAGCACUUUCCUCUCUCAGAUCCUCCCCAGCGUGAACAAGACCCUGAACUUGGUGCAGCAAGUGGAGGCCACUACCAGCUCAGUAGUGAGCGUCCUGCAGGACCCCGAGCAGGACAGCUACCUGGCCAACAGCCAGCCCAUGAACUCCAGCAACUUCACGGCCGGCCUAGACCACUUGUUUCAGUACUCUUACUCCGACAAUGACCAGCUGUACAAGGAGUACAAACCCCCUCCUCGCGACGCCAUCCCUCUGCCCAAGGCUGUCCUCUACCUCCUCAUGGCAGCCCUGGUGGUGGUGGCAGUGGCAUACGCCAUUGUUGGGCACCUCAUCAAGGACCUCAUUCAUGACUUUAUAGAUUGGAUCUUCGGCCCCAACCCAGAUGACAACAGCAACAAAAGCGACGUCAACUGCAUCACCAGCAGUGUCAAUGAGAUGAGCGAGAUGCCCGAGGUGCUGCGCCAUCAUGACCGCCAGCCCCAGGAUGUGGUCAUCGCCAUCAGCGAGACCUGCCACCUGCCACAGCAGACAUGA